UCCGUUGGUGAACCAGCGGAGGGAUCAUUGCAGAGUUGCAAAACUCCUCAAACUAUCGUGAACCUUUACCGCUAAACAGUUGCUUCGGCGGGUGGCCCGCGGGAGGAAUCCAAAAAACCAUCGCUUUCAGCACCGGCCUCUCUGAGUUACUCUACUUUUAAUUAACCUAGUCAAAACUUUCAACAACGGAUCUCUUGGUUCUGGUAUCGAUGAAGAACGCAGCGAAAUGCGAUAAGUAAUUGAAUUGCAGAAUUCAGUGAAUCAUCGAAUUUUUGAACGCACAUUGCGCCCGCCAGUAUUCUGGCGGGCAUGCCUGUUCGAGCGUCAUUUCCACCAUCAGGCCCCCGGGCCUGUGUUGGGGACCUGCGGCUGCCCGCAGGCCCCGAAAUUCAGUGGCGGUCGCGCCGUAGCAACCGAGCGUAGUAACUAAAACGUCUCGCUCUGGCUCGCUGGGCGCGCUCCGGCCGUAAAACACCCCCCCUUUUCGCAAAGGUUGACCUCAAAU
Molecule: ribosomal RNA, 505 nt
Rfam family: 5.8S ribosomal RNA (bases 175-327)